UGCAAAGGCAAAAGGCCAAGGUCCCAGUGAAGAAGACUCUCCAGCAGAUUUCAAAGCAGGCAUUUCCCAGGCCUGGGAGUGAGACACUGUCCCUCAUACAUACCCCUGUUUAUACACAAACACCACCACCUGGACCAUAUGAUCCUGCACACACCCACACAUACCAUACACAUAUUCAUCCUCGUACAACAGCCACAAACCUCAACACAAACCAUCCUUCUGCACACCCCCUGCACACUUAAAAUACCCCCAUGCCUUCUCUCCCACCUCCUAAAACACAUCCCCCUACACAUACUCCUUAGUGCUCUCACACUCACAAGACUGCUUUCCCCAGAAGUGAGCGCUCCGCACUGGGGACACGGAAGUUGCGAGUCUCCCGCCCGCCGCCGCACGGGGCCGCCUGCUCUAGGAGCAUCGCCAAACACCAGGAGCCUGAGCGGAGAGAAAGGGGCACCAUGGGGACCGGUGACUUUGUGAGCUGCCUGGGCUUGUCUGCCCAUGCUGAGGAGAGUUGGCUGGGGCUGCUCUGGGCCAGAGUUGCGAUCUAGCGUGUCACCCACCAACUCAGCGAAGGGCCACAGUCAGUUCAGGUUACCAGUCUUUUCCCCAAAAGCCC
This 616-nucleotide long non-coding RNA is filed under the name Fukomys damarensis (Damara mole-rat). RNAcentral's name for it is "lncRNA (ENSFDAG00000025930.1)". The record is from RNAcentral. Lineage: Eukaryota; Metazoa; Chordata; Mammalia; Rodentia; Bathyergidae.